AAUGGGUCAGCGACUUAUAUUCUGUAGCAAGGUUAACCGAAUAGGGGAGCCGAAGGGAAACCGAGUCUUAACUGGGCGUUAAGUUGCAGGGUAUAGACCCGAAACCCGGUGAUCUAGCCAUGGGCAGGUUGAAGGUUGGGUAACACUAACUGGAGGACCGAACCGACUAAUGUUGAAAAAUUAGCGGAUGACUUGUGGCUGGGGGUGAAAGGCCAAUCAAACCGGGAGAUAGCUGGUUCUCCCCGAAAGCUAUUUAGGUAGCGCCUCGUGAAUUCAUCUCCGGGGGUAGAGCACUGUUUCGGCAAGGGGGUCAUCCCGACUUACCAACCCGAUGCAAACUGCGAAUACCGGAGAAUGUUAUCACGGGAGACACACGGCGGGUGCUAACGUCCGUCGUGAAGAGGGAAACAACCCAGACCGCCAGCUAAGGUCCCAAAGUCAUGGUUAAGUGGGAAACGAUGUGGGAAGGCCCAGACAGCCAGGAUGUUGGCUUAGAAGCAGCCAUCAUUUAAAGAAAGCGUAAUAGCUCACUGGUCGAGUCGGCCUGCGCGGAAGAUGUAACGGGGCUAAACCAUGCACCGAAGCUGCGGCAGCGACACUAUGUGUUGUUGGGUAGGGGAGCGUUCUGUAAGCCUGUGAAGGUGUACUGUGAGGUAUGCUGGAGGUAUCAGAAGUGCGAAUGCUGACAUAAGUAACGAUAAAGCGGGUGAAAAGCCCGCUCGCCGGAAGACCAAGGGUUCCUGUCCAACGUUAAUCGGGGCAGGGUGAGUCGACCCCUAAGGCGAGGCCGAAAGGCGUAGUCGAUGGGAAACAGGUUAAUAUUCCUGUACUUGGUGUUACUGCGAAGGGGGGACGGAGAAGGCUAUGUUGGCCGGGCGACGGUUGUCCCGGUUUAAGCGUGUAGGCUGGUUUUCCAGGCAAAUCCGGAAAAUCAAGGCUGAGGCGUGAUGACGAGGCACUACGGUGCUGAAGCAACAAAUGCCCUGCUUCCAGGAAAAGCCUCUAAGCAUCAGGUAACAUCAAAUCGUACCCCAAACCGACACAGGUGGUCAGGUAGAGAAUACCAAGGCGCUUGAGAGAACUCGGGUGAAGGAACUAGGCAAAAUGGUGCCGUAACUUCGGGAGAAGGCACGCUGAUAUGUAGGUGAAGUCCCUCGCGGAUGGAGCUGAAAUCAGUCGAAGAUACCAGCUGGCUGCAACUGUUUAUUAAAAACACAGCACUGUGCAAACACGAAAGUGGACGUAUACGGUGUGACGCCUGCCCGGUGCCGGAAGGUUAAUUGAUGGGGUCAGCGCAAGCGAAGCUCUUGAUCGAAGCCCCGGUAAACGGCGGCCGUAACUAUAACGGUCCUAAGGUAGCGAAAUUCCUUGUCGGGUAAGUUCCGACCUGCACGAAUGGCGUAAUGAUGGCCAGGCUGUCUCCACCCGAGACUCAGUGAAAUUGAACUCGCUGUGAAGAUGCAGUGUACCCGCGGCAAGACGGAAAGACCCCGUGAACCUUUACUAUAGCUUGACACUGAACAUUGAGCCUUGAUGUGUAGGAUAGGUGGGAGGCUUUGAAGUGUGGACGCCAGUCUGCAUGGAGCCGACCUUGAAAUACCACCCUUUAAUGUUUGAUGUUCUAACGUUGACCCGUGAUCCGGGUUGCGGACAGUGUCUGGUGGGUAGUUUGACUGGGGCGGUCUCCUCCUAAAGAGUAACGGAGGAGCACGAAGGUUGGCUAAUCCUGGUCGGACAUCAGGAGGUUAGUGCAAUGGCAUAAGCCAGCUUGACUGCGAGCGUGACGGCGCGAGCAGGUGCGAAAGCAGGUCAUAGUGAUCCGGUGGUUCUGAAUGGAAGGGCCAUCGCUCAACGGAUAAAAGGUACUCCGGGGAUAACAGGCUGAUACCGCCCAAGAGUUCAUAUCGACGGCGGUGUUUGGCACCUCGAUGUCGGCUCAUCACAUCCUGGGGCUGAAGUAGGUCCCAAGGGUAUGGCUGUUCGCCAUUUAAAGUGGUACGCGAGCUGGGUUUAGAACGUCGUGAGACAGUUCGGUCCCUAUCUGCCGUGGGCGCUGGAGAACUGAGGGGGGCUGCUCCUAGUACGAGAGGACCGGAGUGGACGCAUCACUGGUGUUCGGGUUGUCAUGCCAAUGGCACUGCCCGGUAGCUAAAUGCGGAAGAGAUAAGUGCUGAAAGCAUCUAAGCACGAAACUUGC
Molecule: ribosomal RNA, 2197 nt
Filed under: Escherichia coli
Lineage: Bacteria; Pseudomonadati; Pseudomonadota; Gammaproteobacteria; Enterobacterales; Enterobacteriaceae
Description: partial 23S ribosomal RNA
Rfam family: Bacterial large subunit ribosomal RNA
Source: RNAcentral